CGUCGGCGUCGACGACGGUGGCGCCCGCGCGGCUGAGGCCGGUGCCGACCUCGGCGAUCACGCCGCCGUCGACGA
Molecule: transfer RNA, 75 nt
Filed under: Microbacterium lacticum
Lineage: Bacteria; Bacillati; Actinomycetota; Actinomycetes; Micrococcales; Microbacteriaceae
Description: tRNA-Leu
Source: RNAcentral